UACGGAGGAGGCAAGCGUUAUCCGGGAUUAUUGGGCGUAAAGCGUCCGUAGGUGGUGGGCCAAGUCUGCUGUCAAAGGGUGGGGCUUAACCUCAUAAAGGCAGUGGAAACUGGCGAGCUAGAGUGCGGUAGGGGUAGGGGGAAUUCCCGGUGUAGCGGUGAAAUGCGUAGAGAUUGGGAAGAACAUCGGUGGCGAAAGCGCCCUGCUGGGCCUGCACUGACACUGAGGGACGAAAGCUAGGGGAGCGAAAGGG
Molecule: ribosomal RNA, 253 nt
Filed under: uncultured bacterium
Lineage: Bacteria
Description: partial 16S ribosomal RNA
Rfam family: Bacterial small subunit ribosomal RNA
Source: RNAcentral